GCAGGCCUACGGGGCGCAGCAGUGGGGAAUAUUGCACAAUGGGGGAAACCCUGAUGCAGCGACGCCGCGUGAGUGAGGAAGUAUUUCGGUAUGUAAAGCUCUAUCAGCAGGGAAGAAAAUGACGGUACCUGACUAAGAAGCCCCGGCUAACUACGUGCCAGCAGCCGCGGUAAUACGUAGGGGGCAAGCGUUAUCCGGAUUUACUGGGUGUAAAGGGAGCGUAGACGGAGGAGCAAGUCUGGAGUGAAAUGCCGGGGCCCAACCCCGGAACUGCUCUGGAAACUGUGAAGCUGGAGUGCAGGAGG
This 305-nucleotide ribosomal RNA is filed under the name uncultured bacterium. Its description in RNAcentral is "bacterial SSU rRNA". It matches the Rfam family "Bacterial small subunit ribosomal RNA", at positions 333 to 655 of the family's 1533-position model. The record is from RNAcentral.